Molecule: ribosomal RNA, 514 nt
Filed under: uncultured bacterium
Lineage: Bacteria
Description: bacterial SSU rRNA
Rfam family: Bacterial small subunit ribosomal RNA
Source: RNAcentral
ACAAUGGGCGCAAGCCUGAUCCAGCAAUGCCGCGUGCAGGAAGAAGGCCUUCGGGUUGUAAACUGCUUUUGUACGGAGCGAAAAGGCUCCCUCUAAUACAGGGGGCUCAUGACGGUACCGUAAGAAUAAGCACCGGCUAACUACGUGCCAGCAGCCGCGGUAAUACGUAGGGUGCAAGCGUUAAUCGGAAUUACUGGGCGUAAAGCGUGCGCAGGCGGUUUUGUAAGACAGGCGUGAAAUCCCCGGGCUCAACCUGGGAAUUGCGCUUGUGACUGCAAGGCUGGAGUGCGGCAGAGGGGGAUGGAAUUCCCAGUGUAGCGGUGAAAUGCGUAGAUAUUGAGAGGAACACCAGUGGCGAAAGCGACUUUCUGGGCCGUUCCUGACGCUGAGGUACGAAAGCGUGGGGAGCAAACAGGAUUAGAUACCCUGGUAGUCCACGCCGUAAACGAUGGAUACUAGGUGUAGAGGGUAUCGACCCCCUCUGUGCCGUAGCUAACGCGUUAAGUAUCCCGCC